UGCUUUCGUUUCUCUUGCGUUCCUCUCUCUCUCUCUCUCCCUCCCUUUUCUGCUCUCUUGAAUCUCGACUCUCUCAAAUACAUUCUGCUCCCUUUUCUCUCACUUUUUGAUUAAAUCAAAGGGUUCAGUUGAGCACUCAAGUGUCUUUGAGAUUUUGAGUUUAAGGGUUGCAUUUGGUGAUUGAAGCUCUGACAUUUGUGCACAAUUAGGAGGUCUGAUUUUUUGAUUUGGUUGGAUUUGUGGAUUCUCUCUAUAAUUCAUAUAAUUGAUCUUUGUAAUUUUCAUGUGUUGAUGGGCUACAUGCACUUUGACACAGUCAAGAUAAUAUGGUUCUGAGGGUGCCCUUAUAAACACUUUAACAGAGACAUUUCAAGAUAGGACUAUAGAAAGAGAGGAAUUUUUGUUUCCAUUAUAGGGUAGUCAUCACCAUGACCCUGUUUCUGCUUUGAGACAAACUCUAAAGCACUUAGAUUUGAGCUUAGGUUUCAAGUAUUCAUGGUCCACAACAAAUGGAGCAUCAACCAACCACAUCAACACCAGCUCAUUCACUGCCUGAGAAAAAAAAAUUCCCUGAAAAAAGCAGGAGAGAGCUGUUUGGUACCAACACAGAAAAAAAAAACCCCACAGCUUUGUGAUCAAAUGAUUUGCAGUGACACAGAAGUAACAUGGGAAAACAACAGAAAACACAACUUAUUUGACAUCAGGACAUGGAAGGCAGCAUUAAACCAGCAUCAUCAUCCAUGGAGACCCUCAACAAAGAGAAACAAACUAAAGUGUGAUGACACUUUUUAUGUACAAAGAACUGGAGGAAGUAACUUUUUGGACAACCUCCACAGCUGUUAACUAUGAGGCUAACAACCUUUUGGCAACACAUAUGCUAACAGAUAUCAUCAUCUGUUUUUGACAAAUACAUCAAGCAAUAAUUGUAAUUAAGUUAGCCUAUUACUGUACCUAUUUUUUGCAAGUUGUUUGAACAGCAAAUGUAACUAUCUUUUGAACGUUACCACAAUAUCUACAUUAGUGGUGAUGUUACUAAAACAUGAUCUAUAUCUUCUGUUAUAAAACUUACUUCUCAGCUA
This is a long non-coding RNA of Rosa chinensis, 1079 nucleotides long. RefSeq lists it as uncharacterized. The record is from RefSeq and is a predicted model, not a curated record. Lineage: Eukaryota; Viridiplantae; Streptophyta; Magnoliopsida; Rosales; Rosaceae. The transcript has 5 exons.